AGGAGGUUGGGAAGGGCAGAGAUGAGCAUAAAGUUUUUGCCUUGUUUUUCUUUUU
This is a microRNA precursor of Homo sapiens (human), 55 nucleotides long. The record is from Ensembl. NCBI's taxonomy places the organism in Eukaryota, Metazoa, Chordata, Mammalia, Primates, Hominidae.